CGGGGUGUAGCUCAGCCUGGUAGAGCGCUCGCUUUGGGAGCGAGAGGUUUCGUCGGUUCGAAUCCGACCACCCCGA
Molecule: transfer RNA, 76 nt
Filed under: Actinomycetes bacterium
Lineage: Bacteria; Bacillati; Actinomycetota; Actinomycetes
Description: Actinobacteria bacterium tRNA-Pro
Rfam family: tRNA
About the family: Transfer RNA (tRNA) molecules are approximately 80 nucleotides in length. Their secondary structure includes four short double-helical elements and three loops (D, anti-codon, and T loops).
Source: RNAcentral